This 70-nucleotide transfer RNA is filed under the name Noctilio leporinus (greater bulldog bat). RNAcentral describes it as "tRNA-Gly". It matches the Rfam family "tRNA". From Rfam's summary of the family: Transfer RNA (tRNA) molecules are approximately 80 nucleotides in length. Their secondary structure includes four short double-helical elements and three loops (D, anti-codon, and T loops). Lineage: Eukaryota; Metazoa; Chordata; Mammalia; Chiroptera; Noctilionidae. The record is from RNAcentral.
AUUCUUUUAGUAUUGAUCAAUACAAUUGACUUCCAAUCAAUAAACUUCGGCAUGAAUCCGAAAAAGAAUA